UAGGGAGGGGGCUAGCGUUGUUCGGAAUUACUGGGCGUAAAGCGCACGUAGGCGGACCAGAAAGUCAGCGGUGAACUCCCGGGGCGCAACCCCGGAACUGCCUUUGAAACUUCUGGUCUUGAGGUCGAGAGAGGUGAGUGGAAUUCCGAGUGUAGAGGUGAAAUUCGUAGAUAUUCGGAGGAACACCAGUGGCGAAGGCGGCUCACUGGCUCGAUUCUGACGCUGAGGUGCGACAGCGUGGGGAGCAAACAGG
RNAcentral lists this ribosomal RNA (253 nucleotides) under uncultured bacterium. RNAcentral describes it as "partial 16S ribosomal RNA". It matches the Rfam family "Bacterial small subunit ribosomal RNA", at positions 524 to 776 of the family's 1533-position model. The record is from RNAcentral.